ACCAUCACUAGUCGGCACGUCUGGUAGCAUCUCUGGCUGCUGUUGACCUUGUUUUCGGAGUAAAACACGGUGGAAGCUGAAUUAGUGAGGAUGACUCCUGCUCCUGUCAUCUCUAAGCUCCUCACACAUCUUUACCUGCACAUGAGGAAAAUCACUCCUGUAGAAUGCAGAUGUUCAGAGGGAGAUGAUGCCACAUCUGGUCCAGCCGAUGGAAGGUCUUGAAGUUCUCUGACUGGCCUCGACUGAAGAUGGUCGUCUCACUGGAUUUAAGGUUCAGAUGCUCAGUAACAAACUCCACCAAUGUGCCAACAGGGAAGCUUUAGGUUUAUUAAAUGUUGCUUUGAAGGUUUCACUGUUUUUCUUUGUGAAUGCAAUGCGCUCCAACUGAAACUUGAAUUAGAACUUAGAAGUAAAUCCUUCCAUCUGAAAGGAUUUAGUUGCAUUAAUAACCUCAUAACAUUCUAAUUUUUAUUCCAGUCUUGGCUGGAAAUAGAAUCUCUGUAUUGAUUCAGGUAAAAACUGAACUUCACAGCAUGUUGGAGCAAAACAACCAGAUGAAAACUGUGAUGGUGUUGGAUUGUCAGACCGUAAUGUUGCAGCUCAAAGCAGCUUUUCUAGCUCAGUUCAUUCUGACAUUCAGCUAUGAAUCAACACAGCAGAUGGUGAUCCAUACUGUGGAAGUCUCACAUCUCCUGAUUUAAUGGAGCUGCUUUGCACUUUUUACACUGUUUAUUCACCAACACUUUAUUUAAUAAAAGUCCCAUCUAGUUUUUAUGAGGAAUGUGAUGUUUUAAUUUCUCUGUGAAUAACUGCAGUCUAAUGCAACAGCUGGAAUUGUAACAUCU
This is a long non-coding RNA of Amphiprion ocellaris (clown anemonefish), 845 nucleotides long. The record is from Ensembl. NCBI's taxonomy places the organism in Eukaryota, Metazoa, Chordata, Actinopteri, Pomacentridae.